UUAAGUUCAGCGCGUAUUCCUACCUGAUCCGAGGUCAACCAUUGAAAAAAUUUCCCGGUAAGGGAGAAGACCGGGUCCCGGGUGCCCUCGUCCGAUACGUGCUCAGUUAAAAGCUCAGUGUACCGGGGGAACCACAGGCCGCCGUCAUUGUCUUUAGGAGGGGUCGCGCUGACGCGACCAAGCCGUCCAACACCAAGCAC
RNAcentral lists this unclassified non-coding RNA (200 nucleotides) under Cladophialophora sp. RNAcentral describes it as "partial internal transcribed spacer 2". Lineage: Eukaryota; Fungi; Ascomycota; Eurotiomycetes; Chaetothyriales; Herpotrichiellaceae. The record is from RNAcentral.